GGUCCUGUGGCCCAAUGGAUAAGGCGCCUGACUACGAAUCAGGAGAUUCCAGGUUCGAGUCCUAGCAGGAUCG
Molecule: non-coding RNA, 73 nt
Organism: Ciona savignyi (Pacific transparent sea squirt)
Lineage: Eukaryota; Metazoa; Chordata; Ascidiacea; Phlebobranchia; Cionidae
Source: Rfam